GAUGAACGCUGGCGGCGUGCCUAAUACAUGCAAGUCGAGCGAACGGACGAGAAGCUUGCUUCUCUGAUGUUAGCGGCGGACGGGUGAGUAACACGUGGAUAACCUACCUAUAAGACUGGGAUAACUUCGGGAAACCGGAGCUAAUACCGGAUAAUAUUUUGAACCGCAUGGUUCAAAAGUAAAAGACGGUCUUGCUGUCACUUAUAGAUGGAUCCGCGCUGCAUUAGCUAGUUGGGAAGGUAACGGCUUACCAAGGCAACGAUGGAUAGCCGACCUGAUGGGGUGAUCGGCCAGACUGGAACUGAGACACGGUCCAGACUCCUACGGGAGGCCGCAGUAGGGAAUCUUCCGCAAUGGGCGAGAGCCUGACGGAGCAACGCCGCGUGAGUGAUGAAGGUCUUAGGAUCGUAAAACUAUGUUAUUAGGGAAGAACAAAUGUGUAAGUAACUGUGAACAUAUUGACGGUACCUAAUCAGAAAGCCACGGCUAACUACGUG
Molecule: ribosomal RNA, 497 nt
Filed under: uncultured bacterium
Lineage: Bacteria
Description: partial 16S ribosomal RNA
Rfam family: Bacterial small subunit ribosomal RNA
Source: RNAcentral